This 391-nucleotide ribosomal RNA is filed under the name Centroheliozoa sp. RNAcentral describes it as "partial small subunit ribosomal RNA". It matches the Rfam family "Eukaryotic small subunit ribosomal RNA", at positions 582 to 975 of the family's 1831-position model. Lineage: Eukaryota; Centroplasthelida. The record is from RNAcentral.
AUUCCAGCUCCAAUAGUGUAUAUUAAAGUUGUUGCAGUUAAAAAGCUCGUAGUUGGAUUUCUGGCGGGAGCGAUCGGUCCUUCACUCAGUGUUGGAACCUGAUUGUCUCCUGCCAUCCAUGGAGAAAACUUAUCUGGCAUUAAGUUGUCGGGUAGGCAAUCUCCAUCUUUUACUGUGAAAAAAUUAGAGUGUUCAAAGCAGGCUUAUGCCGUUGAAUAUAUUAGCAUGGAAUAAUAAGAUAGGACUAUGGUACUAUUUUGUUGGUUUGUGCACCAUGGUAAUGAUUAAUAGGGACAGUUGGGGGUAUUCGUAUUCCAUUGUCAGAGGUGAAAUUCUUGGAUUUAUGGAAGACGAACUACUGCGAAAGCAUUUACCAAGGAUGUUUUCAUCG